UCCUAGUGACGACCAGUAUCACGCCUGC
Molecule: small RNA, 28 nt
Filed under: Bombyx mori (domestic silkworm)
Lineage: Eukaryota; Metazoa; Arthropoda; Insecta; Lepidoptera; Bombycidae
Description: ovarian small RNA-27722
Source: RNAcentral